GGACUACUCGGGUUUCUAAUCCUGUUUGCUCCCCACGCUUUCGUGCCUCAGUGUCAGUUACAGUCCAGAAAGCCGCCUUCGCCACUGGUGUUCCUCCUAAUAUCUACGCAUUUCACCGCUACACUAGGAAUUCCGCUUUCCUCUCCUGCACUCAAGUCCCGCAGUUCACGGGGCGAACACCGGUUGAGCCGAUGCCUUAAACCCCGCGCUUACAAAACCACCUACGCACCCUUUACGCCCAAUAAUUCCGGAUAACGCUCGCCCCCUACGUAUUACCGCGGCUGCUGGCAC
RNAcentral lists this ribosomal RNA (291 nucleotides) under uncultured bacterium. Its description in RNAcentral is "partial 16S ribosomal RNA". The record is from RNAcentral.